This is a long non-coding RNA of Onychomys torridus (southern grasshopper mouse), 980 nucleotides long. RefSeq lists it as uncharacterized. NCBI's taxonomy places the organism in Eukaryota, Metazoa, Chordata, Mammalia, Rodentia, Cricetidae. The record is from RefSeq and is a predicted model, not a curated record. The transcript is spliced from 4 exons.
AGGCAAACCUUCAGACACUCAACAGGAAAUGGCUGGGCUGUAGGCAAUAUGAAUCCAAUAAGAUGUUCAAAGAAGCAGGAGGAGCUGUUGAAGUCCUCUGCGCUCUCUCAGCCAUCAGUAACCCAGACAGGGCGAUCGCUGCCCCCAACUUUUAGCAGUCUGUGGUCCCAUACAGAGCCCACCACCUCUGCUAGCUCCGGAAAACAGAUUGGUGUGUUUCUUUUUAAAAACCAUCUCUCCGGAACCGCCUGAGCUAGGAGAGGGCGAGGCUCACCCUUCGGCUGAGCACUGAGCACAGCCUACGCGGGCUGAGCCCACGCCGGUCAGCGGAGAGAGCAGUGUGGAGCUGUCUGCUCUUCUACCCCACCAAAGGCCGGAACCCGGGUGCUCGGGCACCAUGGCUGGGAGCGCACUGAGAGCUUUACCUGAUUUUCGCUGAGCGGUUCGGAGUGACACGGCGUUGAGUGGGAGGCUGCAGGCCAGGAGCAAGAAACGGAGCAAGAAGGCCUCACCUUUGAGUCAUAUUUGAUUUCUGAGGGCAUCUGCAUACUCUGGGUCCUGGGGCCACAGACAUGAAACUUUCUUCAUGGAGACUGUCACAAAUGUGAAGGGAGCUUUAGAAGGAACCCACUCCUCUCCUUUGCAAUUAAAAUCACCUUCCCUCAAGGCUCGCUCUCCUUGCAGUCUGACAACCAGCUCAUGGAUCAUGUAAAUCCAGAGACAAAGCUGAGUCUACCCCAGGCUGAAACCCCAGAAGGCAUGGAGAUGGUAAACAAGAUCCAAGGUCAAGACAAAGAACCAAAUCGCUUGUUUCCUACAUGCACAUGGAAUCAUGAUGAACCAAAGAUUGAAUCUUGGGACAAUGAAAGACCUUUCAAAAUCGUAAUGGGAUAAUAGGAAAUCAAAGCAAGGAAAGAAGGGGAUAGCAGAAGAUGCAAAUAGAUGGCUCCACAUCAGGAGUUCAAAGUCACUAGGGGACU